CUUGGUCAUUUAGAGGAAGUAAAAGUCGUAACAAGGUUUCCGUAGGUGAACCUGCGGAAGGAUCAUUCAUAAUAAGUGUUUUAUGGCACUUUUUAAAUCCAUAUCCACCUUGUGUGCAAUGUCAGUCGAUCUUCUUCAUGGAGAUCGGCCAAACAUCAACCUUAUUUUUUAACUCUUUGUCUGAAGAAUAUUAUGAAUAAACAAUUCAAAAUACAACUUUCAACAACGGAUCUCUUGGCUCUCGCAUCGAUGAAGAACGCAGCGAAAUGCGAUACGUAAUGUGAAUUGCAGAAUUCAGUGAAUCAUCGAAUCUUUGAACGCAUAUUGCGCUCUUUGGUAUUCCGAAGAGCAUGCUUGUUUGAGUAUCAGUAAACACCUCAAAGCUUUUGGAUUUUUUUUGAAAGCUUUGGACUUGAGCAAUCCCAACGCCAAUCUUUUUCAGAUCGGCGGCGGGUUGCUUGAAAUGCAGGUGCAGCUGGACUUUCUCCUGAGCUAAAAGCAUAUUCAUUUAGUCCCGUCAAACGGAUUAUUACUUUUGCUGCAGCUAACAUAAAGGGAGUUUGACCGUAUUGGCUGACUGAUGCAGGAUUUUACAAGGGUCGGCAACGAUUCUUGUUAAACUCGAUCUCAAAUCAAGUAAGACUACCCGCUGAACUUAAGCAUAUCAAUAAGCGGAGGA
RNAcentral lists this ribosomal RNA (679 nucleotides) under uncultured fungus. RNAcentral's name for it is "eukaryotic LSU rRNA". The stretch from base 215 to 368 matches the Rfam family "5.8S ribosomal RNA". Lineage: Eukaryota; Fungi. The record is from RNAcentral.